GUUAUAUGGUCAAGUGAAGAAGCGCAUACGGUGGAUGCCUUGGCAGUCAGAGGCGAUGAAAGACGUGGUAGCCUGCGAAAAGCUUCGGGGAGUCGGCAAACAGACUUUGAUCCGGAGAUCUCUGAAUGGGGGAACCCACCUAGGAUAACCUAGGUAUCUUGUACUGAAUCCAUAGGUGCAAGAGGCGAACCAGGGGAACUGAAACAUCUAAGUACCCUGAGGAAAAGAAAUCAACCGAGAUUCCCUUAGUAGUGGCGAGCGAACGGGGAUUAGCCCUUAAGCUUCAUUGAUUUUAGCGGAACGCUCUGGAAAGUGCGGCCAUAGUGGGUGAUAGCCCCGUACGCGAAAGGAUCUUUGAAGUGAAAUCGAGUAGGACGGAGCACGAGAAACUUUGUCUGAACAUGGGGGGACCAUCCUCCAAGGCUAAAUACUACUGACUGACCGAUAGUGAACCAGUACCGUGAGGGAAAGGCGAAAAGAACCCCGGAGAGGGGAGUGAAAUAGAACCUGAAACCGUAUGCGUACAAGCAGUGGGAGCCUACUUGUUAGGUGACUGCGUACCUUUUGUAUAAUGGGUCAGCGACUUAUAUUCAGUGGCAAGCUUAACCGUAUAGGGUAGGCGUAGCGAAAGCGAGUCUUAAUAGGGCGUUUAGUCGCUGGGUAUAGACCCGAAACCGGGCGAUCUAUCCAUGAGCAGGUUGAAGGUUAGGUAACACUGACUGGAGGACCGAACCCACUCCCGUUGAAAAGGUAGGGGAUGACUUGUGGAUCGGAGUGAAAGGCUAAUCAAGCUCGGAGAUAGCUGGUUCUCCUCGAAAGCUAUUUAGGUAGCGCCUCAUGUAUCACUCUGGGGGGUAGAGCACUGUUUCGGCUAGGGGGUCAUCCCGACUUACCAAACCGAUGCAAACUCCGAAUACCCAGAAGUGCCGAGCAUGGGAGACACACGGCGGGUGCUAACGUCCGUCGUGAAAAGGGAAACAACCCAGACCGCCAGCUAAGGUCCCAAAGUUGUGGUUAAGUGGUAAACGAUGUGGGAAGGCUUAGACAGCUAGGAGGUUGGCUUAGAAGCAGCCAUCCUUUAAAGAAAGCGUAAUAGCUCACUAGUCGAGUCGGCCUGCGCGGAAGAUGUAACGGGGCUCAAACCACACACCGAAGCUGCGGGUGUCACGUAAGUGACGCGGUAGAGGAGCGUUCUGUAAGCCUGUGAAGGUGAGUUGAGAAGCUUGCUGGAGGUAUCAGAAGUGCGAAUGCUGACAUGAGUAACGACAAUGGGUGUGAAAAACACCCACGCCGAAAGACCAA
RNAcentral lists this ribosomal RNA (1302 nucleotides) under Pseudomonas sp. HMSC076A12. Its description in RNAcentral is "bacterial LSU rRNA". It matches the Rfam family "Bacterial large subunit ribosomal RNA", at positions 1 to 1348 of the family's 2925-position model. Lineage: Bacteria; Pseudomonadati; Pseudomonadota; Gammaproteobacteria; Pseudomonadales; Pseudomonadaceae. The record is from RNAcentral.